UGGCGGCAUGCCUAAUACAUGCGAGUCGAACGAGCUUCCGUUGAAUGACGUGCUUGCACUGAUUUCGACAAUGAAGCGAGUGGCGAACUGGUGAGUAACACGUGGGAAAUCUGCCCAGAAGCAGGGGAUAACACUUGGAAACAGGUGCUAAUACCGUAUAACAACAAAAUCCGCAUGGAUUUUGUUUGAAAGGUGGCUUCGGCUAUCACUUCUGGAUGAUCCCGCGGCGUAUUAGUUAGUUGGUGAGGUAAAGGCCCACCAAGACGAUGAUACGUAGCCGACCUGAGAGGGUAAUCGGCGACAUUGGGACUGAGACACGGCCCAAACUCCUACGGGAGGCAGCAGUAGGGAAUCUUCCACAAUGGACGAAAGUCUGAUGGAGCAAUGCCGCGUGAGUGA
RNAcentral lists this ribosomal RNA (399 nucleotides) under Levilactobacillus brevis. Its description in RNAcentral is "bacterial SSU rRNA". It matches the Rfam family "Bacterial small subunit ribosomal RNA", at positions 37 to 408 of the family's 1533-position model. Lineage: Bacteria; Bacillati; Bacillota; Bacilli; Lactobacillales; Lactobacillaceae. The record is from RNAcentral.